This 4528-nucleotide small RNA is filed under the name Pan troglodytes (chimpanzee). RNAcentral describes it as "retained intron". The record is from RNAcentral. Lineage: Eukaryota; Metazoa; Chordata; Mammalia; Primates; Hominidae.
GAGCGGCGGCGGCGGCAGCGGGUCUUGAGUCCUCCGCGAGCAGCAGCGAUUUUCUAUUUUGUACAUACAUUAUUUUGUAUAUACUGUAUAUGAUGACUUCAGUGAGCAGUGACCAUUGUCGAGGUGCUCGGGAAAAACCACAGAUUUCAGCAGCACAAUCAAUGCAACCACAGAAACAAGUGGUACAGGCAACAGCUGAACAGAUGCGUCUCGCUCAAGUGAUCUUUGAUAAGAAUGAUUCAGAUUUUGAAGCUAAAGUUAAGCAGGUAUGUUUCUGGCAAAGGAUAUCAUCAUUUUUAUAAUCUAUUUUGAUUGUGCUUAAAAAGAUAAUUUCAGUAAAGAUUUUUGUUUUAAAGUAUUACUUCUAGCUUCUAGUCUCACCUGAAAUCUGUAUAUUGGAUUUUGGACUUGUGAUUAAAAAUACCUUUAUUGGUGGGCAAGUGAAGGAAUUGAAUACAUUCACCUACCUUACAAUAUAAUCUUUCUGAGUUACUAGUGUUUACAUGUGAACAUUGAACCAGACGUUUCUGUAAGCACACUGAGGUUUUCCGAUACGUGUGCAUAGAAAGUAUAUCUAACAUUUGGCACAGUCUCUGGGAAUUGUGUUUAAUGUUAGAGAUGAACUGAAUAAAAAAAUUUUUUUUCAUAGAGACAUGGUGUCACUCUGUUGCCCAGGCUGGAGUGCAGUGGUGCUGUCAUAGUUCACUGCAGCCUCAAACUCCUAGGCUCACACUAUCCUGCUGCCUCGGUCUCCUGAGUAGCUAUGACGACAGAUGUUCAUCACCAUGCCCAGCUAAUUUUUAAAAUAUUUGUAGAGACAGAGUCCUGCAGUGUUGCCUAGGCUAGUCUUGAAUUCCUGGGCUCAAGCAAUCUGCCUUGGCCUCCCAGAGUGCUGGGAUUACAGGAUUACUGGCCUGAAUUGCCAUUUCAAACAUGGUUGUGAUUUCAUACUCUUGUUGGAAAAGUAUAAAAUUAAAUUUUAAGGCAAUGUCUUCAUUUUGAACUUUAAUAAGAGGUAUUUUUGAUAACUUAGUCUUAAUUUCUAACUCUUCUUUGCUGACCCUUUCUCAUCAAGAUUCUAGAAACCAAGCUGUAACUGCUACCUCAGUGCCAGAUAUUCCAACUCUUGGUAGAUGUCAUCUAAUAAUUGUUCUUUGGAGUAAAAGUCUCACAAUGAAAUCUUGUUUUGUCUCACAAGAAAUCAUAGAUUUCUUUCUCUGGAAUGAGAUCUUCAUACAGUUUGAGAUAUACUUCUGUAUAUUACAUUGCCUUUUAUCUGAAUAGUAUAGAUAGAACACUGGCCCAGGAGUUCAGAGAUUUAAGUUCUAAUUUUAGUUCUGUCUGUCAAUAAUCUGAUCACUGGGGACAUUUUGAUGUUGACUGUGUGUCUUAAAAAUUGUAUGUUGCAGGCAUUCACUUAGUACAGAUCAUUGAUAAAAAUGAGACAUUUAUUAGUAGCUAUCCAAAGACUGAAGCAUCAGAAAGCUAUAGAGUAUGCAGAACUUUUGCUGCUUGAUAAAAUGAAAAGAUGAAAGCAGGGAGGCCAAAUGGUAUAGUGCAGAGAGCUGUGAUUAUGAGAUCAGGAGGCCUGGGUUCUAGAUGGGCUUUGCUAUUAAUUACCUUUGUGACCAUAGACGAAUCACUUGAUAUGUUGGGAUCAAGCUGUUUUGAACUUCAGCUAGUACAUGUUAAAAUAGUUAAAUGUAGUUAAAAUGCAAUAGAUAUUAAAUCAUAGGUUUAUUCACUGAUACUUGAGAAACCUGCAUUUUGCCUAGUCUGUGAUCAUUCUAGUGAUGAAAAUGCUAAGUAACAAGUAUCUCUUGCUAAUGAGAAUAAACUGAAGAGUUUCUUUCAUCAUUACUUCAAGCAUAGCACCAUGUUGAAGAUCCUUGAGAAAAUAUGUCUAGGAGUGUGUUUUGUGAUAGUAGCAGAAUUCCACUUGUAAGACUUUAGGGUGUUAUAUAACUUAGUAUGUACAUGGAAUGAUGUUUUUUCUUCUUUUUUUUGAGGGGGGAGACAGGGUCUUGCUCUGUCUCCUGUGCUAGAGUGCAGUGGCACAAUCAUGGCUUAUUGCAACCUUCACCUCCAGGGCUGAAGCAAUCCUCCUACCACUACGCUCGGUUAAUUUUUUGUAAAGAUGAGGUCUCACUAUAUUGUCCAGUCUCGAACUCCUGGGCUCAAGCGAUCCUCUCGUCUCUGCCUCCCAAAGUGUUGAUUAUAGUUGUGAGCCACUGCGGCUGGCCUUUGAAGUGUUCUAAUCCAAAUGGUGAAAGCCAGCAUAUGGAAUAGUGUCCCUGACAAAAAAUUUGUAUUGGAUUUUCCAUGAAUGAUGACCGUGUACUCAUAUAGUUCCACCUCAUAUUUAAGUUUAGGAAUCCUGUGUGCUUGAAUUAAAUUUGAUUAUUCAGAUACUUGAUCUUGGGUAUUCUGAGAAUGUUGGUACGUAUGUGUGUGCUGCUGAUUAAUGAUCUGCUCCUUGGUCAACUUGGAGGAAGAUUGAUUUGUAGUUAGAUUCUACCAGUGUUAGUGAAAAGACAUGCAUGGAAUGGCCACAAAAAAAUAAGUAAACAUGUCCUCAUUGUAAACUCAAGAGUCUAGAAGAGGCCAUCUUCAUGUAGAAGGAUUAUGUAAUUCUGUAUUUGUAUAGAAGAAUCUUAAUAUCAAGUGCCAGUUUUUUGUUUGCCUCUAACCAUUUUCUGAUAUGUUCACUAGCUUAUGGAAGUGACAGGGAAAAAUCAGGAUGAAUGCAUAGUGGCCCUACAUGAUUGUAAUGGAGAUGUGAACAAAGCUAUCAAUAUAUUGCUGGAAGGGAAUUCAGACACAGUAAGUAUUAUUAAUUGAUUUGCAUCGUUUACAUUUGUCUCCAAUUCCGUAGCACAUUUUCAACUUCACCUUGGUUGGGGGUAGGGAUGGAAUGGAUUAUGGUGCCAUUCCAUAUUUGCUUUAAGUUCCUGAAAGAACGAUUACCUGAAAAGACUGUUUUUGUUAUGUAUGGUUUCUUCGUGAAGUCGUAGAAUCUGAUGACUUGAAAGAGAACUUGGUGAUCUACUCCAGCCUUACAGUUUCCAAAAAUCUCUGUGCCUGUGUAUAUUUUCACCACCCCCACCUGAAAAGCAUCUCUUGGCUCUGUUGCUUAUGUUUCUUCAUCUCAGUCCUCACGUCUGAUUACUUCUUACAUUUCUAUUAUAACAGAAAACCAGGAUUUGCUGGUAUAUGUAUUUGCUUAUGUGGAAUAUCAAGUUUUCUUUUUUUUUUUAAUAUUGGGUUAAGUUUGGUGAGCUUGCAGGCUCAUGAGCUCAGGCCUUGGAUUUUAAGAAGGAUACAGCUAAAGCUACACCAGGCACUUGUCAGCCCUAAAAUUUUGCUGUGUGUAUAUAUUUAUAUUUAUAUAUUAUAGUUUUUAUACAUAUGUAUAUAUUUAUUUAAUAAUUUUAAAUUUUAAAUAAUUAAAUUAUUUAAUAAUAUAUUUAUUUAAUAAUAUAUUUAAUAAUAUAAAUAUAUUUAUAUAUUUAAUAUAUAAAUAUAUUUAAUAAUAUAAAUACAUUUAUAUAUUUAAUAAUAUAAAUAUAUUUAUAUAUUUAAUAUAUAAAUAUAUAUUCUAUAUAGUAUUUAUAAUAUUUGUUUAAUAAUAUAUAAAUAUAUAUUUAUAUAUAUAUUUAUUUUUUUGAGACGGGGCCACCCAGGCUGGAGUGCAGUAGUGCGAUCUUGACUCACUGCAACCUCCGUCUCCUGGGUUCAAGUGAUUCUUUUGCCUCAGCCUCCCAAGUAGCUAGUACUACAGGCAUGCGCCACCACGACCAGCUAAUUUUUGUAUUUUUAGUAGAGGUGGGGUUUCGCCAUGUUGGCCAGACUGGUCUCAAACUCCUGACCUCAGGUGAUCCACCCGUCUUGGCCUCCCAAAGUGUUGGGAUUACAAAUGUGAGCCACCACACCUGACCUGUGUUUAUGUUUCUUAAAUUGAGGAAACUAUUUUAGAGUAGAUUAAAAAAAAAAUGACUCACCUAAAAGAGGAUACAAAGAUGAACACAUCAAUAACUACCUUCCCUUGGAAAAUUUAAAACAAACUGACCGUGUCAGUGUUCAGAUUUAAUUGAAGUCUCAUUUUAGGGUCAUGCUGCAUUAGGUACAAGAAAUACAAAAAUGAACUCUGAGAAACUGAAAGCUAAAAUGACUGUGUUUUUAGUUGAUGUGAAACAAAGAGAAUGAAUUCUUUUAAAGUAAAAAUUAACUAAUGUGGAAAAGAUUUCACUGUUUGAGUGUAGCAGUAAUUGUUGGUAAAAUUCCAUGUAAGAGAACACUGGUACACAAGACAAACCAUCAAAUUUGUGAUUUUUUUUUUGGGGAAAACCAUAUUAUAUGAUAAAUUAAAAUUUUGAAUAGUUUUUGUUUACUGACCUGGGAAUAAGUAUCCUGGGUUUUGCAAAAUAUGGAGGAUCUGUUUACCUUAUUGCUAAUGGGUACAGCAGAGAGUGGCUUUCAGUUAUUUUCAAAGUGAACUGAAGAGCCUAACUGCCCUCUUUGUUUAGGG